AACGCGAAGAACCUUACCUACUCUUGACAUCCAGAGAACUUUCCAGAGAUGGAUUGGUGCCUUCGGGAACUCUGAGACAGGUGCUGCAUGGCUGUCGUCAGCUCGUGUUGUGAAAUGUUGGGUUAAGUCCCGCAACGAGCGCAACCCUUGUCAUUAGUUGCUACGAAAGGGCACUCUAAUGAGACUGCCGGUGACAAACCGGAGGAAGGUGGGGAUGACGUCAAGUCCUCAUGGCCCUUAUGGGUAGGGCUUCACACGUCAUACAAUGGUCGGGACAGAGGGUCGCCAACCCGCGAGGGGGAGCCAAUCCCAGAAACCCGAUCGUAGUCCGGAUCGCAGUCUGCAACUCGACUGCGUGAAGUCGGAAUCGCUAGUAAUCGCGGAUCAGCAUGUCGCGGUGAAUACGUUCCCGGGCCUUGUACACACCG
This 428-nucleotide ribosomal RNA is filed under the name uncultured bacterium. RNAcentral's name for it is "bacterial SSU rRNA". It matches the Rfam family "Bacterial small subunit ribosomal RNA", at positions 958 to 1392 of the family's 1533-position model. The record is from RNAcentral.